This 433-nucleotide ribosomal RNA is filed under the name uncultured bacterium. Its description in RNAcentral is "partial 16S ribosomal RNA". It matches the Rfam family "Bacterial small subunit ribosomal RNA", at positions 29 to 507 of the family's 1533-position model. The record is from RNAcentral.
AACGAACGCUGGCGGCAUGCCUAACACAUGCAAGUCGAACGAGACCUUCGGGUCUAGUGGCGCACGGGUGCGUAACGCGUGGGAACCUGCCCUUAGGUUCGGAAUAACUCCCCGAAAGGGGUGCUAAUACCGGCUAAUGUCUUCGGACCAAAGAUUUAUCGCCUUUGGAUGGGCCCGCGUUGGAUUAGCUAGUUGGUAGGGUAAAAGCCUACCAAGGCGACGAUCCAUAGCUGGUCUGAGAGGAUGAUCAGCCACACUGGGACUGAGACACGGCCCAGACUCCUACGGGAGGCAGCAGUGGGGAAUAUUGGACAAUGGGCGAAAGCCUGAUCCAGCAAUGCCGCGUGAGUGAUGAAGGCCGUAGGGUUGUAAAGCUCUUUUACCCGGGAUGAUAAUGACAGUACCGGGAGAAUAAGCUCCGGCUAACUCCGUG